AUAUAAAUAAGCGGAGGAAAAGAAACUAACCAGGAUUCCCCCAGUAACGGCGAGUGAACAGGGAAAAGCCCAGCGCUGAAUCGUGCAGCUUAACGGCCGUACGAAAUGUAGCGUUACUAUCACACUAGCCUUGACUGUCCGACCCGUGAGUCUCCCUGAGCGGAGCACUCUUCCAUAGAGGGUGCAAGGCCCGUAUCGGGUUGGACUGAUAGACAGGUGUGUGUGUAGAGUCGGGUUGCUUGGGAAUGCAGCUCAAAGGAGGUGGUAAAUUCCAUCUAAAGCUAAAUAUAGGUGCGAGACCGAUAGCGAACAAGUACCGUGAGG
RNAcentral lists this ribosomal RNA (324 nucleotides) under uncultured Oomycota. RNAcentral describes it as "partial large subunit ribosomal RNA". It matches the Rfam family "Eukaryotic large subunit ribosomal RNA", at positions 40 to 358 of the family's 3401-position model. Lineage: Eukaryota; Oomycota. The record is from RNAcentral.